AUUGAACGCUGGCGGCAUGCCUAACACAUGCAAGUCGAGCGGAUGAGGGGAGCUUGCUCCUGGAUUCAGCGGCGGACGGGUGAGUAAUGCCUAGGAAUCUGCCUGGCAGGGGGGGAUAACGUCCGGAAACGGGCGCUAAUACCGCAUACGUCCAGAUGGAGCAAGUGGGGGAUCGUCGGACCUCUCGCUAUCAGAUGAGCCUAGGCCGGAUUAGCUAGCUGGUGGGGUAAGGGCCUACCAAGGCGACGAUCCGUAACUGGUCUGAGAGGAGGAUCAGUCACACUGGAAGUGAGACACGGUCCAGACGCCUACGGGAGGCAGCAGUGGGGAAUAUUGGACAAUGGGCGAAAGCCUGAUCCAGCCAUGCCGCGUGUGUGAAGAAGGUCUUCGGAUUGUAAAGCACUUUAAGUUGGGAGGAAGGGCAGUAAGUUAAUACCUUGCUGUUUUGACGGUACCAACAGAAUAAGCACCGGCUAACUUCGUG
RNAcentral lists this ribosomal RNA (484 nucleotides) under uncultured bacterium. RNAcentral's name for it is "partial 16S ribosomal RNA". It matches the Rfam family "Bacterial small subunit ribosomal RNA", at positions 30 to 507 of the family's 1533-position model. The record is from RNAcentral.